Molecule: long non-coding RNA, 240 nt
Filed under: Homo sapiens (human)
Lineage: Eukaryota; Metazoa; Chordata; Mammalia; Primates; Hominidae
Description: non-protein coding lnc-TYRP1-2:1
Source: RNAcentral
AAAUUGGAUAAUAUAUGUGUUUAUCUGAAGAAUGGGUUUUUCCAGUAAACUCUUUGAAAGAUCUCAGCUGAAGGCAACACAGAUCUUAUUAAGAUCAGAACUACAAAAAGAGAAAAAAUAAUCAAGCUCUGGAACAAAAUAUAUAUAUAUAUCCCUAUCUAAUCUCUUCUGUUUUGUUUUGGCUUCAUACAUUCAACCUCAUUCUGCCACUGGCAUUGACUUGUAUUCUGAGUUUUGUUA